UUCUUGGCCUUUUGGCUAAGAUCAAACGUGGU
This 32-nucleotide small nuclear RNA is filed under the name Cervus elaphus hippelaphus. Lineage: Eukaryota; Metazoa; Chordata; Mammalia; Artiodactyla; Cervidae. The record is from RNAcentral.